This 669-nucleotide ribosomal RNA is filed under the name Gilbertella persicaria. RNAcentral's name for it is "eukaryotic LSU rRNA". It matches the Rfam family "Eukaryotic large subunit ribosomal RNA", at positions 81 to 655 of the family's 3401-position model. Lineage: Eukaryota; Fungi; Mucoromycota; Mucoromycetes; Mucorales; Choanephoraceae. The record is from RNAcentral.
UAGUAACGGCGAGUGAACAGGAAAGAGCUCAAAGUUGGAACCCGUUUGGUUUAGCCAAACCGGAUUGUAAACUGUAGAAGUGUUUUCCUGACACGCCUGAUGAAAAAGUCCAUUGGAACAUGGUGACAUAGAGGGUGAGAGCCCCGUAUUUCGUCAGAGCUGUUGUCUUUUGUGAUACACUUUCAAAGAGUCAGGUUGUUUGGGAAUGCAGCCUAAAUUGGGUGGUAAAUCUCACCUAAAGCUAAAUAUUGGCAAAAGACCGAUAGCGAACAAGUACCGUGAGGGAAAGAUGAAAAGAACUUUGAAAAGAGAGUUAAACAGUAUGUGAAAUUGUUAAAAGGGAACCGUUUGGAGCCAGACUGGCUUGAUUGUAAUCAAUCUAGAUUUCGAUCUGGAUGCACUUGCAGUCUAUGCCUGCCAACGACAAUUCAUUCUGGAGGAAAAAACUAGGAGGAAUGUGGCCCCUCGGGGUGUUAUAGCUUCUUAGAAAAUACUCUGGGUUGGAUUGAGGAACGCAGUGGAUGCUAUUUGGCGAAGUUGCUGAGUGCUUUUAUUGGUACGUGUUAGAAUUUCUGCUUCGGGUGGUGCUAGCAUUUACUGGUAAAACUCGCUUGGUAAUCUUUUUAUCCGCUUAGGUUGUUGGCUUAAUGACUCUAAAUGACCCGUCUG